RNAcentral lists this non-coding RNA (834 nucleotides) under Spodoptera exigua (beet armyworm). The record is from RNAcentral. Lineage: Eukaryota; Metazoa; Arthropoda; Insecta; Lepidoptera; Noctuidae.
AAAAUUCUAUUUAAAAAAAUUUACAUAUAAAUAAAUUUUUUAUGGUUUUAAUAAUUUAUUUAAAAUUUAUUUUACAUAUAAAUUUUAGUGUUAAUUUUACUUUAUUUUAAUAAUAAUUUAAUUUAUUUGUAGUAAUUAAUAUUAAAUAAUUUAAGAAAUUAAGAUUUAGUAAUAUUUGAAUUAAUAACAAAUUUUGUGCCAGCAGUUGCGGUUAAACAAAAGUUAAUUUAAAUUUUAUUAGUAAUUAAUAAAUAAUUGAAAAUUUAUAAUAAUUUUAUUAUAAAUUAAAAUAAUAUAAAUUUUAAAUUAUUAGGUGAAAUUUUAAUUUAAUUUAAUAUUAUAAUGUAUUUAUGAUUUAAUAAAUUUUAUAAAAAACUAGGAUUAGAUACCCUAUUAUUAAAAUUUAAAUUGAAAAUACUAAAAUAGUAGGUAAUUAUUUAUUGAAACUUAAAUAAUUUGGCGGUAUUUUAGUUCAUUUAGAGGAAUCUGUUUAUUAAUUGAUAAUCCACGAAUAAAUUUACUUAAUUUUUUUAUUUUGUAUAUCGUUGUUAAAAAAAUAUUUUUUAAUAAUAAUAAUAUUUAAAAAUUUAAAUUGAAAAUUAAAUCAGAUCAAGAUGCAGAUUAUAAUUAAGAAUAUAAUGGAUUACAAUAAAUUUAUUUAAAUGGAUAUUAAUUUGUAAAAAUUAAUUAAAGGUGGAUUUAAAUGUAAUUUUAUUUAGUUUAAUAAAAUGAUUGAAAAUUGAAAUAUGUACAUAUUGCCCGUCGCUUUCAUAUAUUAAAAAUUGGAAUAAGUCGUAACAAAGUAGAGGUACUGGAAAGUGUUUCUAGAAAGAA